GAAUUCAGGAGGAAAGGAAGCUAAGGCUUCGCUUAAGGAUGAACCUGCGUCCCAUUAGCUAGUUGGUAAGGUAACGGCCUACCAAGGCGACGAUGGGUAUCCGGCCUGAGAGGGUGAACGGACACAUUGGGACUGAGAUACGGCCCAAACUCCUACGGGAGGCAGCAGCUAAGAAUAUUCCGCAAUGGACGGAAGUCUGACGGAGCGACACCGCGUGGAUGAAGAAGGCUGAAAAGUUGUAAAAUUCUUUUGCUGAUGAAGAAUAAAGAUAAGAGGGAAUGCUUAUCAGAUGACGGUAGUCGGCGAAUAAGCCCCG
Molecule: ribosomal RNA, 316 nt
Filed under: Treponema sp. oral taxon 232
Lineage: Bacteria; Pseudomonadati; Spirochaetota; Spirochaetia; Treponematales; Treponemataceae
Description: bacterial SSU rRNA
Rfam family: Bacterial small subunit ribosomal RNA
Source: RNAcentral